GGGCUCGUAGCUCAGCCAGGUAGAGCAGCAGGCUUUUAACCUGUUGGUCGGGGGUUCAAAUCCCCCCGAGCCCG
This 74-nucleotide transfer RNA is filed under the name Methanosarcinales archaeon. RNAcentral's name for it is "tRNA-Lys". It matches the Rfam family "tRNA". Rfam says of the family: Transfer RNA (tRNA) molecules are approximately 80 nucleotides in length. Their secondary structure includes four short double-helical elements and three loops (D, anti-codon, and T loops). The record is from RNAcentral. RNAcentral also lists the same sequence under 4 other names. Lineage: Archaea; Methanobacteriati; Methanobacteriota; Methanomicrobia; Methanosarcinales.